RNAcentral lists this ribosomal RNA (334 nucleotides) under uncultured eukaryote. RNAcentral describes it as "partial 18S ribosomal RNA". It matches the Rfam family "Eukaryotic small subunit ribosomal RNA", at positions 1470 to 1796 of the family's 1831-position model. The record is from RNAcentral.
CCCUUAGAUGUCCGGGGCCGCACGCGCGCUACACUGAAGGAAUCAGCGUGGCUUUCUCCCUGACCCGAAAGGGUAGGGAAACCCGUUGAAUCUCCUUCGUGAUAGGGAUUGGGGCUUGAAAUUGUUCCCCAUGAACGAGGAAUUCCCAGUAAGCGCGAGUCAUAAGCUCGCGUUGAUUACGUCCCUGCCCUUUGUACACACCGCCCGUCGCUACUACCGAUUGAACGGUUUAGUGAGGGCCUCGGAUUGGUCUCGGCCCGCUCUUUACCGGGCGGCGCCGUUGGUCGAGAAGACGCUCGAACUUGAUCGUUUAGAGGAAGUAAAAGUCGUAACA